Long non-coding RNA from Photinus pyralis (common eastern firefly), 928 nucleotides. RefSeq lists it as uncharacterized. The transcript has 2 exons. NCBI's taxonomy places the organism in Eukaryota, Metazoa, Arthropoda, Insecta, Coleoptera, Lampyridae. The record is from RefSeq and is a predicted model, not a curated record.
CUCGGAACACCUGCGUAGUAACACAAACCUCGCACUCGACAAUAGCCGGAACCCCUACGGUGUGGAAGGCCAGGUUGCACUCACUCGUACCCAUGCUAAUUAUCGGAAAGGCGGAACGCAAAUAAUACGCUUAAUUGAAUUUGAAACACAAAUAAAGUUUAUUAAAGAACCGAUCAAAAGUGUAAACAUGAAUCAAAAGGCCGAAAGACAUCCUACAAAUUUAGACAGAAUACAUUUAAAGCCAAAAAGUGCCAGGUUCCCCUAGAACUCGUCGGACAAAAGAACCGUGCUAAAAAAAAUUCCGACUCACUGUUCACAGAGGUGAAAUCUAGAGGGAAAAUCUGGAGAAUGAUAGGUAACAUUGGAUACGCUAAACCUUAGACCAUAUAGUACAUGGACUGCUAUUAGCCCUAUGCUUUCAAUACAAAAUGGAUGGUCACGGGUAGAGGGCACUGUAGUCGUGGGUAUGUGAAUCUCAGUGUAAACUAAAGUCGUUUAAACACCACUUGCAUCGCGUAAAGAGCAUCUUCCAUAACUACCGAGUAGUACGGGAAGCUUUAAAUACUCUUGAUUAUCUUCUACACGUCCACAAAUAAGAAUAGGUUGACAGUGUCAAAUCGUUUUUAAUCGGAUAGCUUCGGACAGAUUCGUUUACCCUGAAACUCACAUACCCAGGCGAUGUCCUUGACCAUAUUUUAGUUACAAUUAGCAGUCCAUGUACUAUAUGGUCUAAGCGCUAAACACAUUUUGCAACACAGCUACAAUAGUUAUACAAAGAAUAAUAAUCCGAGUAAUCGAAUUGGAUAGAUUGAAAUCUGACGUUAAUACAAUACAAACUUGAUAAGUUAAAGGAUGGCCAUCACAAGUAGAUUUAAAAAGCACCUUCAAUCCUUUCUCAUGUGUGAAAGAUACAUUCCGAAGUCUCUUU